This 253-nucleotide ribosomal RNA is filed under the name uncultured bacterium. RNAcentral's name for it is "partial 16S ribosomal RNA". It matches the Rfam family "Bacterial small subunit ribosomal RNA", at positions 524 to 776 of the family's 1533-position model. The record is from RNAcentral.
UACAGAGGUCUCGAGCGUUAGGCGGAAUCACUGGGCUUAAAGCGUGUGUAGGUGGAUCGUUAAGUACCUUGUGAAAUCCCACGGCUUAACCGUGGAACUGCUUGGUAUACUGGCGGUCUUGAGCCAGCUAGGGGCUACCGGAACAAAUGGUGGAGCGGUGAAAUGCGUAGAUAUCAGGAGGAACACCGGUGGCGAAGGCGGGUCUCUGGGCCGAUACUGACGCUGAGGAGCGAAAGCGUGGGGAGCGAACAGG